GUGCAAGGAUCAAAUACAAAUGAGCCUUAAUAUACAAAACGGCUUUAACAUGAGAAGUGAAUGAAGUUUUAUUUCAUUAUUUUUUAUCAUCUGCUUAAAUAUGAUGUUUAAUUACAAAAUUAAAAAAAAUAUACACUAUUAGAGUAAUUAUAUGCCCAUGGCUUUAUAGCCUAGUGGCAUCUUGGGGGUGGGAUAAAGCUUUGGGACCAAUAGGUCCUGGGUUCGAUUUCCACAAGAGGGUUUUCCCAUAUUUAUUGGGUUUCCUCCUGAAUUGGUGUAUAGGCAUUAUGCCUAGUGGAGAUGGAUAUGAUCGGGUGGUUUCGCUGGUGGCACGAUGAUACUCCAGUGUUCAACGGGUGGUACUGAUGUUUGGUGCGACGGGAAAGGUGAGGUACGAGUGCUGAGAUUGAUGGGGUGGUUGUGGCUGCGAUGGUUGUGGUGUUAG
This 445-nucleotide long non-coding RNA is filed under the name Helianthus annuus (common sunflower). RNAcentral describes it as "hypothetical non coding rna". Lineage: Eukaryota; Viridiplantae; Streptophyta; Magnoliopsida; Asterales; Asteraceae. The record is from RNAcentral.